GACUGCACCAUAUUUAUCUUAUCCACUUUUGCUAGUGAAGCAGAGUCAAGACUGGUAGGUACUUGGAUGGGAGACUACCUGAGAAUACCAGAGACUGUAGAGU
This 103-nucleotide ribosomal RNA is filed under the name Salvator merianae (Argentine black and white tegu). The record is from RNAcentral. Lineage: Eukaryota; Metazoa; Chordata; Lepidosauria; Squamata; Teiidae.